RNAcentral lists this ribosomal RNA (490 nucleotides) under uncultured bacterium. RNAcentral describes it as "partial 16S ribosomal RNA". It matches the Rfam family "Bacterial small subunit ribosomal RNA", at positions 30 to 507 of the family's 1533-position model. The record is from RNAcentral.
AUUGAACGCUGGCGGCAGGCCUAACACAUGCAAGUCGAACGGUAACAGGAAGAAGCUUGCUUCUUUCCGGUGGCGUGGCGGGGGGGUGUGUAAUGUCUGUGAGACUCCACUAUGGCGGGGGGGAACUCGUGGAAACGGUAACUCUAACAGCGUAUAGUCGCAACAGCAAAAAGCAGGAGCUUCGGGCCUCUUGCGAGCGGGUAUGACCAGAUGGCGUUAGCUAGUAGGCGGGGUAAAGGCUCACCAAGGCGACGAUCCCUAGCUGGUCUGAGAGGAUGACCAGCCACACUGGAACUGAGACACGGUCCAGACUCCUACGGGAGGCAGCAGUGGGGAAUAUUGGACAAAGGGCGCAAGCCUGAUGCAGCCAUGCCGCGUGUGUGAAGAAGGCCUUCGGGUUGUAAAGCACUUUUAUCGGGGAAGAAGAGAGGAAAGUUAAUACCCUUCUGUAUUGACGUUACCCAAAGAAGAAGCACCGGCUAACUCCGUG